AAAAUAAUGCUGGGGUACGAUGCGGAGCGAAAUUUAGUAGCGAAGUAGCUGAUUUCACACUGUCGAGAAAAGUCUCUAUCGAGGUUAAAGGUGCCUGUACCGCAAACCGACACAGGUGGGUGAGGAGAGUAUCCUAAGGCCAGCGAGAGAACUGUUGUUAAGGAACUCGGCAAAAUGACCCCGUAACUUCGGGAGAAGGGGUGCCUUCGAAAGAAGGCCGCAGAGAAUAGGCCCAAGCGACUGUUUACCAAAAACAUAGGUUUCUGCUAAGUCGCAAGACGAUGUAUAGGAGCUGACGCCUGCCCGGUGCUGGAAGGUUAAGGGGAUCUGUUAGAGCAAUCGAAGCAGUGAACUUAAGCCCCAGUAAACGGCGGCCGUAACUAUAACGGUCCUAAGGUAGCGAAAUUCCUUGUCGGGUAAGUUCCGACCCGCACGAAAGGCGUAACGAUUUGGGCACUGUCUCAACAACAGACUCGGUGAAAUUGUAAUACCGGUGAAGAUGCCGGUUACCUGCGACAGGACGGAAAGACCCCAUGGAGCUUUACUGUAGCUUGACAUUGAGUCUCGGUGCUACAUGUACAGGAUAGGUGGGAGACUAUGAAGCAUGGACGUCAGUCUGUGUGGAGUCAUCCUUGGGAUACCACCCUUGUAGUACUGGGAUUCUAACCAGAGGCCAUGAAUCUGGUCUUGGGACACUGUCAGGUGGACAGUUUGACUGGGGCGGUCGCCUCCCAAAAAGUAACGGAGGCGCUCAAAGGUUCUCUCAGUACGGUCGGAAAUCGUACGAAGAGUGUAAAGGCAAAAGAGAGCUUGAUUGCAAGACAUACAGGUCGAGCAAGGACGAAAGUCGGACUUAGUGAUCCGGUGGUUCCGCAUGGAAGGGCCAUCGCUCAACGGAUAAAAGCUACCCUGGGGAUAACAGGCUGAUCUCCCCCAAGAGUCCACAUCGACGGGGAGGUUUGGCACCUCGAUGUCGGCUCAUCACAUCCUGGGGCUGUGGUAGGUCCCAAGGGUUGGGCUGUUCGCCCAUUAAAGUGGUACGCGAGCUGGGUUCAGAACGUCGUGAGACAGUUCGGCCCCUAUCCGUCGCAGGCGUAGGAAAUUUGAGGAGACCUGUCCUUAGUACGAGAGGACCGGGAUGGACGUACCGCUGGUGUACCAGUUGUUCUGCCAAGGGCAUGGCUGGGUAGCUAAGUACGGAAAGGAUAAGCGCUGAAAGCAUCUAAGCGCGAAGCCCACUUCAAGAUAAGAUUUCCCACCGCAAGGUUAAGAUCCCAGGAAGACUACCUGGUUGAUAGGUCAGAGGUGUAAGUGCAGUAAUGUAUUUAGCUUACUGAUACUAAUAGAUCGAGGACUUGACC
This 1361-nucleotide ribosomal RNA is filed under the name metagenome. Its description in RNAcentral is "bacterial LSU rRNA". It matches the Rfam family "Bacterial large subunit ribosomal RNA", at positions 1547 to 2925 of the family's 2925-position model. The record is from RNAcentral.